This 628-nucleotide ribosomal RNA is filed under the name Bartsia alpina. RNAcentral describes it as "eukaryotic LSU rRNA". The stretch from base 223 to 378 matches the Rfam family "5.8S ribosomal RNA". Lineage: Eukaryota; Viridiplantae; Streptophyta; Magnoliopsida; Lamiales; Orobanchaceae. The record is from RNAcentral.
AAAGCAGACCGCGAACAUGUUAAACCACUUGGGAACGAGGCACGGGGGCAACCUCGUGUCGAGUCCCCCUCCCGUGUGCGUGCGUUUGAUCUCAAGCGCUCGUACUACGGGCUAACGAACCCCGGCGCGGCAUGCGCCAAGGAAUACUCAUAGAAGCGUCCUCCUUCGUAGCCCCGUACUCGGUGUGCGAUGUGGGUAGGUACGUCUCUCCAAAGUCUAAACGACUCUCGGCAACGGAUAUCUCGGCUCUCGCAUCGAUGAAGAACGUAGCGAAAUGCGAUACUUGGUGUGAAUUGCAGAAUCCCGUGAACCAUCGAGUCUUUGAACGCAAGUUGCGCCCGAAGCCACUUGGUUGAGGGCACGUCUGCCUGGGCGUCACGCAUCGUGUCGCACCCCACAUCUAUCCCAUACGUGGUGAUGAAGUGUGGGGGUGGAUAUUGGCCCCCCGUGUACAUUAGUGCGCGGUCGGCCUAAAUGCGAACCCGCGGCGACUCGCGUCACGACCAGUGGUGGUUGAACACUCAACUUUCGUACUAUCGUGAUGAAUGUAGUCGCAUGUCGGGCGUCGUUAUAAACCCAAUGGCUCGAGCAACUCGAGUUUUCGACCGCGACCCCAGGUCAGGCGGGA